AGGCAGUGAUGAUCCGAAAACACAUACCAUCAAACUCUGAAGCCCGAUCAGGGCCCGUUGAUGCGAUCGAUAAUCGAGAUUCUCUGAGCCU
Molecule: non-coding RNA, 91 nt
Organism: Eucalyptus grandis
Lineage: Eukaryota; Viridiplantae; Streptophyta; Magnoliopsida; Myrtales; Myrtaceae
Source: Rfam